GAUGAACGCUGGCGGCGUGCCUAAUACAUGCAAGUCGAGCGAACAGACGAGGAGCUUGCUCCGCUUGCGUUAGGGGCGGACGGGGGAGUAACACGUGGAUAACCUACUUAUAAGACUGCGAUAACUUCGGGAAUACGGAGCUAAUACGAGAGAAUAUACUGCACCAUGUAGUUUGAUAGCAAAAUACGGUUUUGCUGGCUCUAUUACAGGGGUCCGGGCCGGCUUAGCUAGUUGGUAAGGUAACGGCUUACCCAGGCCACGAUGCGUAGCCGAACCGAGAGGAUGAUCAGCCGCCCUGCAGCGGGGACGCGCUCCCGACUCCUGAGUGAGGCACCAGUCGGGAAUCUUCCGCAGUGGGCGAAAGCCUGACGGAGCAACGCCGCGUGAGUGAUGAAGGUCUUCGGAUCGUAAAACUCUGCUAUUAGGGAAGAACAAAUGUGUAAGUAACUAUGCACGUAUUGACGGUACCUAAUCAGAAAGCCACGGCUAACUACGUG
RNAcentral lists this ribosomal RNA (497 nucleotides) under uncultured bacterium. RNAcentral describes it as "partial 16S ribosomal RNA". It matches the Rfam family "Bacterial small subunit ribosomal RNA", at positions 28 to 507 of the family's 1533-position model. The record is from RNAcentral.